Molecule: long non-coding RNA, 2752 nt
Filed under: Heterocephalus glaber (naked mole-rat)
Lineage: Eukaryota; Metazoa; Chordata; Mammalia; Rodentia; Bathyergidae
Description: lncRNA (ENSHGLG00000050009.1)
Source: RNAcentral
GACCCCGCCCCGUCCCGCCCCGCCAUCUAGGCCGCAGCAGCUGAGCCUCCCGGUAUCGCUGAUCCCCCAAAUUUCCGGUUCCCCAAAGACAACUCAGGAUGUGGGGAGGGAGGGGCAGGGAGAGGAGAGCGAGAUCAGAGACAGGCGCGGGGAGAAGGGAGACGGCAGCCGCGACAGAAAGGCAGAAGGACAAAGACGACAGUCGGACAAAGAAGACACGAAGCUGAUUUGACGGCACACACUUGUCACCCCAGCUACUCAGGAGGCUGAGGCAGGAGGAUCGCGAGUUCUAGCCCAACCUGGCAACAUAGGGAGACCUCGUCUCGACACUAAAGACGAAAAGUCUAGGGAUGUAGCUCAGCGCGAAGGCCCGGGGCUGGGUCCCGAAUGGCAAACAAACAUGGACGCGAGGCAGAGACAAGAGUCGGGAAGGAGAGGGACGUGAGACAGAGGCGGAGGCAGGGAGGCCAAAACUGAAAGCACAGGUGGAAGAGGCCGAGCGAGGGGUGGGCGUGCGGGGUGCGGAGGGACCCGGAAACAGGAGCCGCGGCCGCGAGCAGGUGGGCGUGCGGCUCGGGCCCGGGCCACCCCGGACAGCCUGGCCUGCAGACGGGCCGCUGGGAAGAGCGCGGCGGGCACAGGGCGGGGGCUCGCGGGCGCCGGGGGAGCGACUCACGGCGGCCUUGAGUCAGGCGCCUUCAUUCGGAAACCACAGAAGCAGCCGCCGCGGAGCCGGAGCCGAGCUGAGCCGAGCCGAAACCGGAGCCGAGCCGAGCCGAGCCGAGCCGGGGCCCGCAGGCCCGCGGGGCUGAGCGGCUCUCGAGGACCCAGCUUCAGGAUCCAGGGCCUCCCCUCCCCCUUCUCAGGCCCGGCCCUUCUCCGCGGCGGGGGCAGCUCCUGGCUCUGCCUCGGCGCCAGCCUCCUUCCUGAGGCCUGGCGAGACCCCCGCCCCACGCAGAAGCCCCCUCCACCCGCUUCCCUUUUGUUCCGCUGUCUCCAUCUCUGCGUUGGCGCCGGCUUCGAAUCCUCCCUCCACCUCAGAGUGAGCUGCACUUCCUUAAGGACUUGGGCACCUGCUGUGUGACCGUAGGCAAAUCAUUUACCACUCUGAUCCUGCUCCCUGGUCUCCGUACCUGAGGACAGCUGCGUACUGGAGAUGGAACCGAUCCGCACACCACUCCCUCUUUUGGGACAGGUUCUCUUUAAAUUGCUAAGUUGCCCAGGCGGGGCUUGGGCAGGAAACUCUCCUGUCUCAGCCUCCCAGAGUGCUAGAAUUACAGGCACGCCCCACCACAGCAGCACGGUGUCCUCCCGGCCAGUGAUUGGCUCAGUGGAGCCACGUGCCUCAAGCCGGCCCAGUGGGCGACUUCGGGGCUCUCCGGGUGCUGGGGCUCCCCGGGUGCUAGGGCUCCUGAUCCGCGUUACCUGGGGAACCUGGAAGGGUGCGCCCCGAACCGCCUCCGCGUACACAGGGGUCUCCUUGCUUAUUCAGGUUCCACUGAAAGAGCAAGGCCGGGGCGGGCGGGGCCCGGGUGCCAGCCCAGGUGCCCCCGCCGGUUGCCUCCCCUUCCUCGCGUCCCGCCCCACCACCGCCCUCUGGGACCCUCCUCCCACGAAACCCAAGAAACCCAAGUCCGCAAGUCCGCGAGCGCUGGCUUUGAGGAGCACCCGGAUGUCCCAGUGUCUUCCCAGCAGCCCCCGAGAGUUCUCUGCCGCCCACCUCCCCCCACUUUCUCCAGCGCGGGACCUCCCAGCCCACAGCCGGGCCACCCUGUGGAUUACACCAACAACCUCCUGCUGACCUCCCUUCCUCCCUGCCCUCCUCACUGACCCUCCCAGCAGCCACUCAAGAGAUAUUUGCCAAAACACGAAUCUGACCUCAUCAUGCUUGGCUCUGAAGCCUCCAGGGGCGGCCCGUGGGUCCCGGGAUAGUUUCCAUGCCCGCUCACCCCGAUCUCUGGCCUUUCUCACCUCUGCGCCUUCUCCAAUCUCACAACAUGCAACAUCUGCUAGUUCUUCAGAGGCACCUCAGGACCUUUGCAUGUGCCAGACAGCUCAGCCACCUGGCUGGCACAAAGCAACCAGUGACUUUGGGCUUUGCUCACUCUCUGCUAAAGUAGCCUACUCCACAUCUUGUGUCCCCACCCAUUCCCUCCUGGGGCCUUGAUCUCAGUUAUUUUGAAAUCAUUCAGAUCUAUGCUUGAAGAGCCAGGUGUGGUGGUGCACACACCUGUAAUCCCAGCACUUCAGAGGCUGAGGCAGGCAGAUCAUUGUAAAUUUGAGGCCACCCUGGGCUACCCAGCAAGACUGUCUCAAAAAGAAAAGAAAAAAACAAUCUGGGGAUGGCACACACCUGUGGUCUCAGCCCUUGGGAGAAUCACCCUAAAUUCAAGGCCAGCCUGGACUCCAUUGUGAGUCCCCGUCUCAAAAACCCAAAUAAGGAAAUAAAUAAAAUUUUGAAAAUAAACACUCAUAGCUCCCUCUUGCCAUUGCACUUGUUUUUGUUUUUGUUUUUAGUACCGGGGAUCAAACUCAGGACCUUGUGCUUUCGAGGUAGGCGCAGGAACCAUGAGCUAAAUCCCUGGCCCCAUUGCACUUUUUUUAAAAUAUUUAUUUAUUUAUUUAUUUAUUAGGGGCCAGUACUGAGGACUGAACCAGGGCAUUCGCACUGAGCCACAUCCCCAGCCCAUUCUUUAUUUUGGGACCAGGUCUCACUAAGUUGCUAAAUUGCCCAGGCUGGUCUCAACCUUGC